CCUUAGUGGCUUCUCUACCGAUGCGUACUUCUUAAAGUACUGACAGUCAAUUUGAAUCUCCUUCAGCUGGCUUUCCUUCCUGCCCCUCCCCUCAUACAGAAACACAUCUUGCUAGAGGUGGAGCAACUUCUCCCAACUAAGCAGCACAGCAGGAGGACUAAGAGUUGAAUGCUCACGAGGAUUCACUCACUCUUUGCCUUGCACAAAGGUAUAUACACUGAGCCAGAUGUGGGCUGCUAAGCUGCUGCUUUCCCUUGACUGACCUUAAAGGAGUUUUGGCAUUAAACUGCUGAAUGGCACCCAGUGUUUGCUGUCAAGACAGUCCAUCAGAAAGUGAUUGCUCAAGCCCCCAAAUCCGAGAGACACAGUAAUGAGGAUGAAGAGGAAGCCAGAGGCUACCGAUUUAAGAGAAAGUGAUCAGUAUUGUCUUUGGCAUUUGUUUGUGGAUAUUAGGCUGAAGCAGCAAGCUUUUAAUUGUGUUUACACUGAAAUUAUAGUAGGGAACAUUUCAACCCCUCUCAGGUUAAGGUUAUAUCUCAUCUAAUUUUGAGGAAUUGAG
Molecule: long non-coding RNA, 559 nt
Organism: Hemicordylus capensis (graceful crag lizard)
Lineage: Eukaryota; Metazoa; Chordata; Lepidosauria; Squamata; Cordylidae
Exons: 3
Source: RefSeq, a predicted model, not a curated record